GACGAACGCUGGCGGCGUGCCUAAUACAUGCAAGUUGAGCGCUGAAGGUUGGUACUUGUACCAACUGGAUGAGCAGCGAACGGGUGAGUAACGCGUGGGGAAUCUGCCUUUGAGCGGGGGACAACAUUUGGAAACGAAUGCUAAUACCGCAUAAAAACUUUAAACACAAGUUUUAAGUUUGAAAGAUGCAAUUGCAUCACUCAAAGAUGAUCCCGCGUUGUAUUAGCUAGUUGGUGAGGUAAAGGCUCACCAAGGCGAUGAUACAUAGCCGACCUGAGAGAGUGGUCGGCCAGAUUGGGACUGAGACACGGCCCAAACUCCUACGGGAGGCAGCAGUAGGGAAUCUUCGGCAAUGGACGAAAGUCUGAGCGAGCAACGCCGCGUGAGUGAAGAAGGUUUUCGGAUCGUAAAACUCGGUUGGUAGAGAAGAACGUUGGUGAGAGUGGAAAGCUCAUCAAGUGACGGUAACUACCCAGAAAGGGACGGCUAACUACGUG
This 497-nucleotide ribosomal RNA is filed under the name uncultured bacterium. RNAcentral's name for it is "partial 16S ribosomal RNA". It matches the Rfam family "Bacterial small subunit ribosomal RNA", at positions 28 to 507 of the family's 1533-position model. The record is from RNAcentral.